UGGGGAAUAUUGCACAAUGGGCGCAAGCCUGAUGCAGCAACGCCGCGUGAGGGACGACGGCCUUCGGGUUGUAAACCUCUUUUGGCAGGGAAGAAGCGAAAGUGACGGUACCUGCAGAAAAAGCACCGGCUAACUACGUGCCAGCAGCCGCGGUGAUACGUAGGGUGCAAGCGUUGUCCGGAAUUAUUGGGCGUAAAGAGCUCGUAGGCGGUUUGUCGCGUCUGCUGUGAAAACCCGAGGCUCGACCUCGGGCCUGCAGUGGGUACGGGCAAACUAGAGUGCGGUAGGGGAGAUUGGAAUCCCUGGUGUAGCGGUGGAAUGCGCAGAUAUCAGGAGGAACACCGAUGGCGAAGGCAGAUCUCUGAGCCGACACUGACGCUGAGGCGCGAAAGCCAGGGGAGCAAACG
RNAcentral lists this ribosomal RNA (407 nucleotides) under uncultured bacterium. Its description in RNAcentral is "bacterial SSU rRNA". It matches the Rfam family "Bacterial small subunit ribosomal RNA", at positions 355 to 774 of the family's 1533-position model. The record is from RNAcentral.